GUAGGGUGCGAGCGUUAAUCGGAAUUACUGGGCGUAAAGCGUGCGCAGGCGGUUCUGCAAGUCAGAUGUGAAAUCCCCGGGCUUAACCUGGGAACUGCGUUUGAAACUACGGAGCUAGAGUACGGCAGAGGGGGGUGGAAUUCCACGUGUAGCAGCGAAAUGCGUAGAUAUGUGGAGGAACACCGAUGGCGAAGGCAGCCCCCUGGGCCGAUACUGACGCUCAGGCACGAAAGCGUGGGGAGCAAACAGGAUUAGAUACCCUGGUAGUCCACGCCCUAAACUAUGUCAACUAGUUGUCGGGGAAGCAAUUCCUUGGUAACGAAGCUAACGCGUGAAGUUGACCGCCUGGGGAGUACGGUCGCAAGAUUA
This 369-nucleotide ribosomal RNA is filed under the name uncultured bacterium. RNAcentral describes it as "bacterial SSU rRNA". It matches the Rfam family "Bacterial small subunit ribosomal RNA", at positions 527 to 896 of the family's 1533-position model. The record is from RNAcentral.